This 996-nucleotide ribosomal RNA is filed under the name uncultured marine benthic group E euryarchaeote. RNAcentral describes it as "bacterial SSU rRNA". It matches the Rfam family "Archaeal small subunit ribosomal RNA", at positions 403 to 1400 of the family's 1478-position model. The record is from RNAcentral. Lineage: Archaea; Methanobacteriati; Candidatus Hydrothermarchaeota.
AGUGGUUUUUAGUAGUGUAAAUAGCUGUAAGAAUAAGAGCUGGGUAAGACCCGUGCCAGCCGCCGCGGUAACACCGGCAGCUCGAGUGGUGACCGCUUUUAUUGGGCCUAAAGCGUUCGUAGCCGGUCCAGUAAGUCUUUGGGCAAAUCUUCUCGCUCAACGAAAAGAAUUCCGAAGAUACUGCUGGACUUGGGGCCGAGAGAGGUUAGAGGUACUCCUGGGGUAGGGGUGAAAUCCUAUAAUCCUGGGGGGACCGCCAGUGGCGAAGGCGUCUAACCAGAGCGGACCCGACGGUGAGGGACGAGAGCCAGGGGCGCGAACGGGAUUAGAUACCACGGUAGUCCUGGCUGUAAACGCUGCAUGCUAGGUGUUGCAUGCUCUACGGGGGCAUGCAGUGCCGAAGAGAAGUUGAUAAGCGUGCCGCCUGGGAAGUAUUAUCGCAAGGUAGAAACUUAAAGGAAUUGGCGGGGGAGCACCACAAGGGGUGGAGUCUGCGGUUCAAUUGGAUUCAACGCCGGAAAUCUCACCGGAGGCGACGGCAGGAUGAUGGCCAGGUUGAAGAUCUUGCUUGACGAGCCGAGAGGAGGUGCAUGGCCGUCGUCAGCUCGUACCGUGAGGCGUCCUGUUAAGUCAGGCAACGAGCGAGACCCGUGCCCUUAUUCGUCAGCAGAUGCCUUCUGGCAUGCUGGACACAUUAAGGGGACCGCUGCUGAUAAAGCAGAGGAAGGAGCGGGCGACGGUAGGUCAGUAUGCCCCGAAUCUUCCGGGCUACACGCGGACUACAAUGACCAGUACAAAGGGCUUCGACUUCGAAAGGAGAAGGAAAUCCCCAAAACUGGCCCAAGUUCAGAUCGUGGGCCGCAACUUGCCCACGUGAAGCCGGAAUCCCUAGUAAUCGCGUGUCAUUAUCGCGCGGUGAAUAUGUCCCUGCUCCUUGCACACACCGCCCGUCAAACCACCCGAGUGGGGUCGAGGCGAGGCCAUGUCGUCUGGCAU